UGAAUGGCGCCACUAGGGUUGUGC
This 24-nucleotide microRNA is filed under the name Eptesicus fuscus (big brown bat). RNAcentral's name for it is "efu-miR-652". Its record names the gene efu-miR-652. Lineage: Eukaryota; Metazoa; Chordata; Mammalia; Chiroptera; Vespertilionidae. The record is from miRBase by way of RNAcentral.